Molecule: ribosomal RNA, 253 nt
Filed under: uncultured bacterium
Lineage: Bacteria
Description: partial 16S ribosomal RNA
Rfam family: Bacterial small subunit ribosomal RNA
Source: RNAcentral
UACAGAGGUCUCAAGCGUUGUUCGGAUUCAUUGGGCGUAAAGGGUGUGUAGGUGGCGCGCUAAGUCGGGUGUGAAAUUUUGGAGCUUAACUCCGAAACUGCAUUCGAUACUGGCGUGCUUGAGGACUGGAGAGGAGACUGGAAUUCAUGGUGUAGCAGUGAAAUGCGUAGAGAUCAUGAGGAAGACCAGUGGCGAAGGCGGGUCUCUGGACAGUUCCCGACACUGAGACACGAAGGCCAGGGGAGCAAACGGG